UACGGAGGGUGCGAGCGUUGUCCGGAAUCACUGGGCGUAAAGGGCGCGUAGGUGGCCCGAUAAGUUGCUGGUGAAAUCCCGGGGCUCAACUCCGGGGCUGCCGGUAAGACUGUCGGGCUCGAGCACGGUAGAGGCAGAUGGAAUUCCCGGUGUAGCGGUGGAAUGCGUAGAUAUGCGGAGGAACACCGAUGGCGAAGGCAAUCCCCUGGGCCUGUACUGACGCUCAUGCACGAAAGCGUGGGGAGCAAACAGG
RNAcentral lists this ribosomal RNA (253 nucleotides) under uncultured prokaryote. Its description in RNAcentral is "partial 16S ribosomal RNA". It matches the Rfam family "Bacterial small subunit ribosomal RNA", at positions 524 to 776 of the family's 1533-position model. The record is from RNAcentral.